Molecule: ribosomal RNA, 403 nt
Filed under: uncultured bacterium
Lineage: Bacteria
Description: bacterial SSU rRNA
Rfam family: Bacterial small subunit ribosomal RNA
Source: RNAcentral
GAUGAACGCUAGCGGCAGGCUUAACACAUGCAAGUCGAGGGGCAGCACAUAAGGUAGCAAUACUUUGGUGGCGACCGGCGCACGGGUGAGUAACACGUAUGCAAUCUACCUGUAAGCGGGGAAUAACCCGGAGAAAUUCGGACUAAUACCGCAUAAUACCACGAAUUCGCAUGAAUUUGUGUGUUAAACAUUUAUGGCUUACAGAUGAGCAUGCGUAUGAUUAGAUAGUUGGUAGGGUAACGGCCUACCAAGUCUGCGAUCAUUAGGGGUUCUGAGAGGAAGGUCCCCCACACUGGUACUGAGACACGGACCAGACUCCUACGGGAGGCAGCAGUGAGGAAUACUUGGUCAAUGGGCGAGAGCCUGAACCAGCCAAGUCGCGUGAAGGAAGAGGGUUCUAUGG